ACGUAGGGUGCAAGCGUUAAUCGGAAUUACUGGGCGUAAAGCGUGCGCAGGCGGUCUUGCGAGACAGAUGUGAAAUCCCCGGGCUCAACCUGGGAACUGCAUUUGUGACUGCAAGGCUAGAGUACGGUAGAGGGGGAUGGAAUUCCGCGUGUAGCAGUGAAAUGCGUAGAUAUGCGGAGGAACACCGAUGGCGAAGGCAAUCCCCUGGACCUGUACUGACGCUCAUGCACGAAAGCGUGGGGAGCAAACAGGAUUAGAUACCCUGGUAGUCCACGCCCUAAACGAUGUCAACUGGUUGUUGGGAGGGUUUCUUCUCAGUAACGAAGCUAACGCGUGAAGUUGACCGCCUGGGGAGUACGGCCGCAAGGUUG
Molecule: ribosomal RNA, 371 nt
Filed under: uncultured bacterium
Lineage: Bacteria
Description: bacterial SSU rRNA
Rfam family: Bacterial small subunit ribosomal RNA
Source: RNAcentral